This 274-nucleotide long non-coding RNA is filed under the name Lathyrus oleraceus (garden pea). RNAcentral's name for it is "Pisum sativum (pea) long non-coding RNA (PSAT_LNC023815)". Lineage: Eukaryota; Viridiplantae; Streptophyta; Magnoliopsida; Fabales; Fabaceae. The record is from RNAcentral.
UUUGGAGUCCACUUGCCCCUGGAAUCGGGCACGAAAGACAAGACUUUCUUGAGCACAAGGUCACCUUCUCGGAACACACGAGGCUUGACCUUCUUAUCGAAUGCUUUCUUCAUUCUCUGCUGAUAUAACUGACCACGACACAUGGCAGUCAAUCUCUUCUCUUCAAUCAAAUUCAGUUGGUCGUAACGACUCUGAAUCCAUUCAGCAUCAGUCAACUAGGGAUUUGAGGGUAUAAUUUUUCUUUUUUCCUUUGAAGAAAUCUUGAAAUUUUUUU